UUUCUCAUUUUGUCUAUUUAAUCCUACUAUAUUAUUUGGGAAGUACAUUUUAAAUGUAACCUUAAUUUUUGUAAUUAAUUACAUAGGUGUGCCAUUAAAAAUAAAAUU
This 108-nucleotide small RNA is filed under the name Arabidopsis thaliana (thale cress). Its description in RNAcentral is "ATSL136430". The record is from RNAcentral. Lineage: Eukaryota; Viridiplantae; Streptophyta; Magnoliopsida; Brassicales; Brassicaceae.